RNAcentral lists this unclassified non-coding RNA (216 nucleotides) under fungal sp. RNAcentral's name for it is "partial internal transcribed spacer region". The stretch from base 1 to 46 matches the Rfam family "Eukaryotic small subunit ribosomal RNA", at positions 1786 to 1831 of the family's 1831-position model. Lineage: Eukaryota; Fungi. The record is from RNAcentral.
AAGUCGUAACAAGGUAACCGUAGGUGAACCUGCGGAAGGAUCAUCAACAAAUCAAUUUAUGCUGGAGCAAUCCGGCAUAUAUACCAAUGUGAAUUGGGAUGCUUUAGGGCGUCUCUGUGAUUUUUGUUCUGUGGAACGAAAAUAUAAGCGAGUCUAUAUGAGUCUGAUUAAAAACAUUAAUCAAAACAACUUUUAACAAUGGAUCUCUUGGCUCUU